CACUGACAUUAGAUACCCGCGUAGUCCCAGCCGUAAACAAUGUGCGUUAGGUGUGUCGGUAACCACGUGUUACUGAUGCGCCGAAGAGAAAUCGUGAAACGCACCACCUGGGAAGUACGGUCGCAAGGCUGAAACUUAAAGGAAUUGGCGGGGAGCACCACAACAGGUGGAGCCUGCGGUUUAAUUGGAUUCAACGCCGGACAUCUCACCGGAUAAGACAGCUGAAUGAUUGUCAAUCUGAAGGUUUUACAUGACUAGCUG
This 261-nucleotide ribosomal RNA is filed under the name uncultured archaeon. Its description in RNAcentral is "partial 16S ribosomal RNA". It matches the Rfam family "Archaeal small subunit ribosomal RNA", at positions 720 to 982 of the family's 1478-position model. The record is from RNAcentral.